RNAcentral lists this long non-coding RNA (855 nucleotides) under Numida meleagris (helmeted guineafowl). Its description in RNAcentral is "lncRNA (ENSNMEG00000002520.1)". Lineage: Eukaryota; Metazoa; Chordata; Aves; Galliformes; Numididae. The record is from RNAcentral.
CCGUGUGUGUCAAUGUGGGUCAAUGUGGGGCUGCAGGGCUGCAGUGUGGGUCAAUGUGGGGCAAUGUGGGUCAGUGUGGGUCAAUGUGGGGCAGCAUCCCGAGCCCUUUCUCCCCCCAGACGGCGUCGCAGCGUCGGCUGCGGCUGCUGGAGGAGCUGCAUGCGCUGGUGUCGGGGGCGGCGCAGGAGCUGCGCUGGCUGCGCGGGCGCGAGGAAGAGGAGGUGGCCUUCGACUGGAGCGAGCGCAACCCGGCCAUGGCCGCCAAGAAGGACGCCUACGCGGUACGAUGUGGGGCGGCACUUGGGGGGCAGGGAGCGGGGGGGCAUUUUGUGGUGCAUUCUGGUGCAUUCGGGUGCAUUGCAGCACAUAUCAUGCACUGACGGUGCAUUGUAGUGCAUUUUGUGGUGCAUUCUGGUGCACUGAGGCCCAUAUCAUGCUGUGGCAGUGCACUGUGGUGCAUUUUGUGGUGCAUUCUGGUGCAUUGCAGCACAUAUCAUGCACUGACAGUGCAUUGUGGUGCAUUCUGGUGCACUGCAGCACAGCCCACGCACUGACAGUGCACUGUGGUGCAUUUUGUGGUGCAUCCUGGUGCGUUGAGGCCCAUUGUGGCCCAUUGUGGCACAUAUCAUGCACUGACAGUGCAUUGUAGUGCAUUUUGUGGUGCAUUCUGGUGCAUUCUGGUGUAUUGCAGCACAUGCCAUGCACUGACAGUGCACUGUGGUGCAUUUUGUGGUGCAUUGUGGUGCAUCGAGGCACAUAUCGUGCACUGACAGUGCACUGUGGUGCAUUUUGUGGUGCAUUCUGGUGCAUUCUGGUGCAUUGAGGCACAUGCCAUGCACUGACAGUGCACUGUGG